Molecule: ribosomal RNA, 55 nt
Filed under: Serpula himantioides
Lineage: Eukaryota; Fungi; Basidiomycota; Agaricomycetes; Boletales; Serpulaceae
Also listed under: 2 other names
Description: partial 28S large subunit ribosomal RNA
Rfam family: Eukaryotic large subunit ribosomal RNA
Source: RNAcentral
UGACCUCAAAUCAGGUAGGAUUACCCGCUGAACUUAAGCAUAUCAAUAAGCGGAG